RNAcentral lists this ribosomal RNA (544 nucleotides) under uncultured Ceratobasidium. RNAcentral describes it as "bacterial SSU rRNA". It matches the Rfam family "Eukaryotic small subunit ribosomal RNA", at positions 548 to 1098 of the family's 1831-position model. Lineage: Eukaryota; Fungi; Basidiomycota; Agaricomycetes; Cantharellales; Ceratobasidiaceae. The record is from RNAcentral.
UUGGAGGGCAAGUCUGGUGCCAGCAGCCGCGGUAAUUCCAGCUCCAAUAGCGUAUAUUAAAGUUGUUGCAGUUAAAAAGCUCGUAGUUGAACUUCAGGCCUGGUCGGGCGGUCUGCCUCACGGUAUGUACUGUCUGACUGGGUCUUACCUCUUGGUGAGCCGGCAUGCUCUUCACUGGGUGUGUCGGGGAACCAGGACUUUUACUUUGAGAAAAUUAGAGUGUUCAAAGCAGGCCUAUGCCCGAAUACAUUAGCAUGGAAUAAUAGAAUAGGACUUUGGUUCUAUUUUGUUGGUUUCUAGGACCGAAGUAAUGAUUAAUAGGGAUGGUUGGGGGCAUUAGUAUUUAAUUGUCAGAGGUGAAAUUCUUGGAUUUAUGAAAGACUAACUUCUGCGAAAGCAUUUGCCAAGGAUGUUUUCAUUAAUCAAGAACGAAAGUUAGGGGAUCGAAGACGAUCAGAUACCGUCGUAGUCUUAACCAUAAACUAUGCCGACUAGGGAUCGGACGACGUUAAAUAAAUGACUCGUUCGGCGCCUUACGGGAAAC